Molecule: ribosomal RNA, 370 nt
Filed under: uncultured organism
Description: bacterial SSU rRNA
Rfam family: Bacterial small subunit ribosomal RNA
Source: RNAcentral
CGUAGGGUGCGAGCGUUAAUCGGAAUUACUGGGCGUAAAGCGUGCGCAGGCGGUUUUGUAAGACAGAUGUGAAAUCCCUGGGCUCAACCUGGGACCUGCAUUUGUGACUGCAAGGCUAGAGUACGGUAGAGGGGGAUGGAAUUCCGCGUGUAGCAGUGAAAUGCGUAGAUAUGCGGAGGAACACCGAUGGCGAAGGCAAUCCCCUGGACCUGUACUGACGCUCAUGCACGAAAGCGUGGGGAGCAAACAGGAUUAGAUACCCUGGUAGUCCACGCCCUAAACGAUGUCAACUGGUUGUUGGGUCUUUACUGACUCAGUAACGAAGCUAACGCGUGAAGUUGACCGCCUGGGGAGUACGGCCGCAAGGUUG